ACGGAGGGUGCGAGCGUUAAUCGGAAUUACUGGGCGUAAAGGGCGCGUAGGCGGUUAUAUAAGUGUGGUGUGAAAUCCCAGGGCUCAACCUUGGAACUGCACUUCAAACUGUAUGACUAGAGUGUGAUAGAGGGAGGUAGAAUUUCCGGUGUAGCGGUGAAAUGCGUAGAGAUCGGAAGGAAUACCGGUGGCGAAGGCGGCCUCCUGGAUCAACACUGACGCUGAGGUGCGAAAGCGUGGGUAGCAAACAGG
This 252-nucleotide ribosomal RNA is filed under the name uncultured bacterium. RNAcentral describes it as "partial 16S ribosomal RNA". It matches the Rfam family "Bacterial small subunit ribosomal RNA", at positions 525 to 776 of the family's 1533-position model. The record is from RNAcentral.